GUGGGGAAUCUUCCGCAAUGGACGAAAGUCUGACGGAGCGACGCCGCGUGAGUGAAGAAGGCCUUCGGGUCGUAAAGCUCUGUCAUCAGGGACGAACGGCCGGUGGAGUGGAAAGCCACCGGAUUGACGGUACCUGAGAAGGAAGCCACGGCUAACUACGUGCCAGCAGCCGCGGUAAUACGUAGGUGGCAAGCGUUGUCCGGAAUUAUUGGGCGUAAAGCGCGCGCAGGUGGGAUCUUAAGUCCAUUUUUAAAGUUCGGAGCUCAACUCCGUGAUGGGAUGGAAACUGGGAUGCUUGAGUACCGGAGAGGAAAGCGGAAUUCCCCGUGUAGCGGUGAAAUGCGUAGAUAUGGGGAGGAACACCAGUGGCGAAGGCGGCUUUCUGGACGGUGUCUGACACUGAGGCGCGAAAGCCAGGGGAGCGAACGGGAUUAGAAACCCCUGUAGUCC
Molecule: ribosomal RNA, 450 nt
Filed under: uncultured bacterium
Lineage: Bacteria
Description: partial 16S ribosomal RNA
Rfam family: Bacterial small subunit ribosomal RNA
Source: RNAcentral